GCUAAAAUAACUUAUAGCCGACGAAAUACCCUAAUAUUUCGUCGGCUAAACCUAAACUUUUUCUUGUUACAUACUAUAGCCCUAUCUUCGGUGGUUAUUUUGCGUAAAAUUUUUAUACGACUUAUUGUGUCUCAUCGAUUUGAAAAUAUUUUCAGUUGAAGGUCCGGCCAAAAUACGAAAUUUUGACGGUCCAACAACCUUUUCCGUGCAUUUAGGGGUUUGACUUACGGGAUUGACCGUCCGGAUCGAGCACUUAACCUUGUCAGAUCAAGUUGAAUUUUUUCUCAUACAUGUAUUUUAUCAUGAUGGUCAGAUCUGACCGUCGGAUUUCCUUUUCUCAAGUUUGAUCAUCACAAUCACAACAUGCUUACUAAUGUUGUAUAACUUGUUUACAAGUGUUAAGUAAAUGUUUCGUUUCAAAAACAAACUAUAUGUAGAACCUUCAAACGUAAAAAAGUCGUGAAAUAAGACAUGACCAGAAUGGUGAAAUACCUCUACGGUUGAAAAAUCACGGUAUUCCGGUCAUGGUCGGUGCCGAUAGUUGCGGUCAAUGCGAUUUUCCAUUCUUUCUCCCUAUGGGUAGCCCUACCUUCGGUGGUUAUUUUGCAUAAAAUUUUUUUAGGACUUGUUGCGUCUCAUCGGUUUGAAACUAUUUUCAGUUGAAGGUCCGGCCAAAAUACAUAAUUUAGACACUCCAAUGACCUUUUCCGUGCGUUUAGGGGUUUGACUUAACAGAUUGACCGUCCGGAUCGAGCCCUUAACCUUGUCGGAUCAAGUUGAAUUUUUUUCCAUACAUGUAUUUUAUCAUGAUGGUCAGAUCUGACGGUCGGAUUUUCGUUCUAAAGUUUGAUCAUCACGAGCAGCAGUCACAGUUAGACGAAUGUAUAAAAAGUUAUAAAACCGACGAAUUUAAAAGAUUAUAGCCGACGAAAUUACUACAUUCGUCGGCUAAAGUGUUAGCCGACGAAAUUACUGAGUUCGUCGGCUAAAGUGUUAUGUUAGCCGAC
This 1007-nucleotide long non-coding RNA is filed under the name Fragaria vesca (wild strawberry). RNAcentral describes it as "long non-coding RNA (FVES_LNC004752)". The record is from RNAcentral. Lineage: Eukaryota; Viridiplantae; Streptophyta; Magnoliopsida; Rosales; Rosaceae.